This 448-nucleotide ribosomal RNA is filed under the name uncultured Chromatiales bacterium. RNAcentral describes it as "bacterial SSU rRNA". It matches the Rfam family "Bacterial small subunit ribosomal RNA", at positions 1082 to 1533 of the family's 1533-position model. The record is from RNAcentral. Lineage: Bacteria; Pseudomonadati; Pseudomonadota; Gammaproteobacteria; Chromatiales.
UAGUCCGUACGAGCGCACCCUUGUCCCUAGUUGCCAGCACUUCGGGUGGGAACUCUAGGGAGACUGCCGGUGAUAAACCGGAGGAAGGUGGGGAUGACGUCAAGUCAUCAUGGCCCUUAUGGGGAGGGCUACACACGUGCUACAAUGGCCGGUACAGAGGGCUGCGAAGCCGCGAGGUGGAGCGAAUCUCAGAAAACCGGUCGUAGUCCGGAUUGCAGUCUGCAACUCGACUGCAUGAAGCCGGAAUCGCUAGUAAUCGCGGAUCAGAACGCCGCGGUGAGUACGUUCCCGGGCCUUGUACACACCGCCCGUCACACCAUGGGAGUGGGCUGUACCAGAGGUAGGUAGUCUAACCUUCGGGAGGACGCUUACCACGGUGUGGUUCAUGACUGGGGUGAAGUCGUAACAAGGUAGCCCUAGGGGAACCUGGGGCUGGAUCACCUCCUUU